Xenopus laevis (African clawed frog) is the source of this 1799-nucleotide long non-coding RNA. RefSeq lists it as uncharacterized. NCBI's taxonomy places the organism in Eukaryota, Metazoa, Chordata, Amphibia, Anura, Pipidae. The record is from RefSeq and is a predicted model, not a curated record. The transcript has 5 exons.
ACUGUUACUAUAGGCACCAUCUCUCCCUACUAUAUAAUAUAUACAGUAUAAUAUUAGUGAUGAUAAAAAUGGUGAGAGGUGCUGCAGAACUGCACGUUAUUGUUAUACAUUUUUGCUUAGUGUAUUUCCAGAAUUAUUGGCCCCAGAGAUGGACUCUCAGUUGCUCCUGUAAGAAAUCUCAGAUAAUUUAAUUGGGAUUCACUACAAAUCAUGGCUUGUGUUUUAUUUAGGUGCAGACAACAUAAUGGCAAACAGGGGAUAAAUAAAUUGUGUUUCAGAGUUUCUUGGCUGAGCUGUCACCUCUGAUUUGCCGGAGCUCGUGUUCCCUUGUGCCCAGGGCCAGUAAUGCACAAAGGGAUGGGGCAGCCGGUGAGGAUGGAGGGAGGGGGGAUCAAGUCUGGGUUUAUUUUUUCUUCUCCUCCAUUUUCUUGUGGCCCCUCAGAGCUGUGUGUAUUUGUGGGUUAGAGGAGAACUGUCAGGUUUAAUCAGAGCCAGGGGAAGGGGGAGGAGGUAAAGCCGUCAGGACAGAUUAUGGCACAGGCUACAUGGCAGUUCCUAUACUGGUUUAUACCUGAAUGGAAUCGGCUCUGUUUGUUGCUGAUCUGUCUGUUGGGCCGCACCCUGUGCUUAUAAUAUAUUGCCUGUGUCCACUUCUACAAGUUAUCAAACCAGAAUUACUGCAGCUUGUUUCCCCACCACUUAAUUCAACAACAAACAGGAGUCAGAACCAACAGUGCAGAGAAUAUUACCCACCAGUCAGACUACAGACAGUCAGCAAAACAGCUUUGGCGUGGGACUGUGGCACAUAUGUGCUUUAAGAAGCUGCGGGCAGUUUACAGCAUCAUGAGCAACAUGUUGGACUACAGGAAGAGCGUGGAGUGACCAGAACCACCGACCGUGCUGGAAAAGUUCCAGGAGAUCAGCAAGAUCCUUUUAAAAAGAUGGAGAGCCAGGCAGAUAGUGAAGAACAUUCCUCCCUCGGAUAUGUCUUAGAUCAAUGCCAAGGUGGUCGCUAUGGAUCUGCGUAAGGAUCUGCGUUAUGACGUUGGGUACGAGUGGGCCUGGAGGCAAGACUACCUGUCCUAGGAGAAAGAUAACCCUCCAGCAGCUUCUCAAUUUUCCAAAACCCUUCAGGAGCUGAAGAAGAAUGAGAGUCACCGCUCAGUAUUGUUUUCAUGCCAUGUACGGAAGCACAAAGACGCUGGCUGGAGUAGUGGAGAAAGGGAGAGCAGUGGGGCCUCAUUGUAUUGCAGUGAUUUUAUCAGUACAGAGUCGGACUCCCAGCAGCCCCAGCGCUUUGUCUCACUCACUAAUGAGGGAUUUCGGGGACCCCGGCAGAUUUGUCUGAGAGGCAGAGGAGGAGUGUGGGGCGUGUUCUGCCGCUUCAUGGAAUAUUGUCAUUGUCAGAAUAGGAACAGCUGAAAGUGUCUAGUUACCCUUGUAUAGGACCAGUUUGACCUGUUUUUACUGCCUUUUGGUAUUUACUAUGUUUAACUGCACCGCGAGGAGUAAAUGUAAAUGUUCAUGUGCUCUUUAUAUCUCUGCUCUGUAUAAAAUUAAAGUGUUUGAAAGGAAUAACAAUAAAUUGUACGGUUGCCCUGAACUGGUACAACUGCUGUGUAUACAACUAUAGUUUAUAUAAUCAAGCUGCUGUUUGUUUGUAUGAACUGCUGCACAGGAUACUCAAUAGAUAACAGAUACGUUCUGAAGAAUCCCAUUGUAUACCACAGAGCUUAUCUGUUAUCUGUUCUGUAUCGUGUGCUUUUUCUCCCUUUUCAGCUUUGAAUGGCUGCCCCCAU